This 468-nucleotide ribosomal RNA is filed under the name uncultured bacterium. RNAcentral describes it as "partial 16S ribosomal RNA". It matches the Rfam family "Bacterial small subunit ribosomal RNA", at positions 28 to 507 of the family's 1533-position model. The record is from RNAcentral.
GACGAACGCUGGCGGCGUGCUUAACACAUGCCAGUCGAACGGAAAGGCCCUGCUUUUGUGGGGUGCUCGAGUGGCGAACGGGUGAGUAACACGUGAGUAACCUGCCCUUGACUUUGGGAUAACUUCAGGAAACUGGGGUUAAUACCGGAUAGGAGCUCCUGCUGCAUGGUGGGGGUUGGAAAGUUUCGGCGGUUGGGGAUGGACUGGCGGCUUAUCAGCUUGUUGGUGGGGUAGUGGCUUACCAAGGCUUUGACGGGUAGCCGGCCUGAGAGGGUGACCGGCCACAUUGGGACUGAGAUACGGCCCAGACUCCUACGGGAGGCAGCAGUGGGGAAUAUUGCACAAUGGGCGGAAGCCUGAUGCAGCAACGCCGCGUGCGGGAUGACGGCCUUCGGGUUGUAAACCGCUUUCGCCUGUGACGAAGCGUGAGUGACGGUAAUGGGUAAAGAAGCACCGGCUAACUACGUG